RNAcentral lists this ribosomal RNA (157 nucleotides) under Neofusicoccum umdonicola. RNAcentral describes it as "5.8S ribosomal RNA". It matches the Rfam family "5.8S ribosomal RNA". From Rfam's summary of the family: 5.8S ribosomal RNA (5.8S rRNA) is a component of the large subunit of the eukaryotic ribosome. It is transcribed by RNA polymerase I as part of the 45S precursor that also contains 18S and 28S rRNA. Functionally, it is thought that 5.8S rRNA may be involved in ribosome translocation. The record is from RNAcentral. Lineage: Eukaryota; Fungi; Ascomycota; Dothideomycetes; Botryosphaeriales; Botryosphaeriaceae.
AACUUUCAACAACGGAUCUCUUGGUUCUGGCAUCGAUGAAGAACGCAGCGAAAUGCGAUAAGUAAUGUGAAUUGCAGAAUUCAGUGAAUCAUCGAAUCUUUGAACGCACAUUGCGCCCCUUGGUAUUCCGAGGGGCAUGCCUGAUUCAGCGUCAUUU